This 301-nucleotide ribosomal RNA is filed under the name uncultured bacterium. Its description in RNAcentral is "partial 16S ribosomal RNA". It matches the Rfam family "Bacterial small subunit ribosomal RNA", at positions 509 to 807 of the family's 1533-position model. The record is from RNAcentral.
CAGUAGCCACGGUAAAACGUAGGGUGCAAGCGUUAAUCGGAAUUACUGGGCGUAAAGCGUGCGCAGGCGGUUAUAUAAGACAGAUGUGAAAUCCCCGGGCUCAACCUGGGAACUGCAUUUGUGACUGUAUAGCCAGAGUACGGCAGAGGGGGAUGGAAUUCCGCGUGUAGCAGUGAAAUGCGUAGAUAUGCGGAGGAACACCGAUGGCGAAGGCAAUCCCCUGGGCCUGUACUGACGCUCAUGCACGAAAGCGUGGGGAGCAAACAGGAUUAGAUACCCGCGUAGUCCCUGUCUCUUAUAC